This 470-nucleotide ribosomal RNA is filed under the name uncultured Rhodomicrobium sp. RNAcentral describes it as "bacterial SSU rRNA". It matches the Rfam family "Bacterial small subunit ribosomal RNA", at positions 8 to 526 of the family's 1533-position model. Lineage: Bacteria; Pseudomonadati; Pseudomonadota; Alphaproteobacteria; Hyphomicrobiales; Hyphomicrobiaceae. The record is from RNAcentral.
AGAGUUUGAUCCUGGCUCAGAACGAACGCUGGCGGCAGGCUUAACACAUGCAAGUCGAACGCACCGCAAGGUGAGUGGCAGACGGGUGAGUAACGCGUGGGAACCUUCCCUGUGGUACGGAAUAACUUCGGGAAACCGAAGCUAAUACCGUAUAUCUCCUCCGGGAGAAAGAUUUAUCGCCAUAGGAUGGGCCCGCGUUGGAUUAGCUAGUUGGUAGGGUAAUGGCCUACCAAGGCGACGAUCCAUAGCUGGUCUGAGAGGAUGAUCAGCCACACUGGGACUGAGACACGGCCCAGACUCCUACGGGAGGCAGCAGUGGGGAAUAUUGGACAAUGGGCGCAAGCCUGAUCCAGCCAUGCCGCGUGAGUGAAGAAGGCCUUAGGGUUGUAAAGCUCUUUUGGCGGGGACGAUAAUGACGGUACCCGCAGAAUAAGCCCCGGCUAACUUCGUGCCAGCAGCCGCGGUAAUAC